GGAAAGCACCCAGACUGUCCAAGCCGGACUAGGGGACGCCGAAGAAGGCCCAGAAAACCUGGCUGGCAGGGCGUGUCCUCCCCACGCUGGACCCGCAGAAACCGCCCCAGCGAGUGAAGGAAGCACGAGUGCGGGAGGCCUACAUGGCCUGAGGCAAGGAGGACGUCGGGACAGAAGGUAAACCGGCAGGGGAACUUCGGCCGAGAGCAGAAAGAGGACAGCCACCUGAAGUAUUGUUGGGCCCAGGUGCACAAGAUCGAGGGGGUUGACCAGAGCCCGAACCAGAGACUCCCCUCCUCCUACUUUCUGGUCAAAGGAGGCCUUCUGUACCACCGGACCAACCGCAGAGGGGAAAACGUGGACCUCUUGGUCGUCCCCAAAGCCAGAACGCAGGCACUGAUGCACCUGGCUCAUGCCCAUCCGCUCGGGGGCCAUCCUGGAGAAGCUGAAAGACCGCUUUGUCUGGCCAGGCAUGGACGCAGAGGUCCGGGGCUUCUGCCAACAAUCACCCCAGUGCCAACGCAUGGCCCCGAGGAAGCCCCCACCGGCACCCCUCAUUCCGCUUCCCAUCAUAGGCGUCCCCUUCGAGAGGAUCGGCAUGGACCUCGUCGGGCCGCUCCCAAAAUCCGCCUGAGGUCACAAGUAUAUAUUGGUAAUCAUGGACUACGCCACCAGGUACCCCUAGGCAGUACCACUACGUAAAGCCACCUCCCGGAACAUCGCUAAUGAAAUAGUGCUCCUGUUCAGCCGUGUGGGGAUCCCAAAAGACAUUUUAACCGACUAAGGUACCCCGUUUGUGUCAAAGCUAAUGUCUGUGUCGGCUGUUGCAAGUGAAACACCUAAAGGCAUCAGUCUACCACCCACAAACAGAUGGGCUGGUCGAACGGUUCAACCGGACCUUGAAGCAGAUGUUGCGCUGCGUGAUACACGAGGAAGGGAUGAACUGGGAUCUCCUCCUACUGUACGUCCUCUUUGCCAUCCGAGAGUGCCCCCAGGCAUCCACGGGCUUCACACCCUUUGAGCUCCUCUUUGGAUGGCGACCUCAUGGACUGCUGGACGUGGCACAGGAAGCAUGGGAAGAACAGCCUUCCUCAUUCCGCUCGGUCAUCGAGUAUGUACAGGAGAUGCAGGAGAAGAUCAACCUAGUGGCCCCUUUCAUCCAAGAACAUAUGAGAGCCUCCCAGGAGGAACAGAAACGAGUGUACAACCGUCCAGCGCAAUCCCACGAGUUCCAACCUGGCGAUCGGGUAAUCCUGAUAGUACCAGCAGCUCCUGUAAAUUCCUAGCUCGGUGGCAGGGCCCAUAUACCGUCCUCGAGAAGAGAGGCCCUAUCGUGUCCUGGAGGCCCGCCAUAAGGCUAUCGAGGAGGAGGUCAGCCGGAUGCUGCGGGACAACAUCAUAGAGGAGUCCAACAGCCCCUGGUCCAGCCCUAUCAUAGUUGUACCAAACCCCAACAGAAGUAUGCACCUCUGCAACAACUUCCGGAAGCUAAACCAGAUCUCGGAGUUUGACAGCUAUCCCCUCCCCCGGGUGGACGACCUAGUGGAGCGAUUGGGGAGGGCCCGGUUAAUCUCCACCCUGGACCUAACAAAGGGAUACUGACAAGUGGCGCUGGCCCCAGAGGCGAGACCAAAGAUGGCCUUCAGCACGGCGAACGGCCACUGGCAGUACCGGGUUCUCCCCUUCGGGCUACAUGGAGCACCUGUGACGUUCCAGCAGCUGAUGGACAUUGUCCUGCAAAUUAUUGUGCCUUCGAAGCCGCCUACCUGGACGAUGUGGUCAUCGUUGUGCCUAACUUCUCCUCAAUAGCUUCCCCCCUCUCAGAUCUCACAAAGAAGGGCCAGCCGGACCGGGUGAAGUGGUCUGCAGACGCGGAGCGGGCAUUCCAAGCCCUGAAGGAAGCCCUCACCAGCACCCCUGUGCUACAUAACCCAGACGUCACCCUACCGUUCACCGUGUACACAGAUGCAUCCGAGACUGGGCUGGGCGCUGUUCUCUCACAGACCUUUGAUGGGGAGGAGCACCCGGUCCUCUACAUUAGCCGAAAGUUGUUCCCAGCUGAGAGGUGGUAUUUGGCUGUGGAGAGAGAGGCCCUAGCGAUAAAGUGGGCCAUCGAGGAGCGACGGUACUUCCUGACCCGGCGGCACUUUGUCCUGGUGACAGACCACGCCCCACUCCAACGGAUGGCCAAGGCCAAGGACAAUAACGCCCGGGUAACUCGAUGGUUCCUAUCCCUACAGGAUUUCUCUUUCCAGGUCCAGCACCGGGCAGGGACACAACAUGGGAAUGCAGAUGGCCUCUCAUGACGGGACGCCCUGUGGGCCCGACACACGACGACAGUAGGCUCGGAGUUGAGGGGGGUUACUGUGGCAACAGGCCCGCAGUUGACGCACAAGAAACAAAGAUCGCUCCUUCCGCGACUGCUACUGUGGUGCUGAAGAGACGGCUCCACUCCAUUUCAAUGUUUUGGGCAGCUGGAGAGCGGCUGCUGAAUGGCGCACGGCACGGAAAAAUUCCACCAUCCAGCAGCCAACGGGAGAGUAUAAAAGGGGCGAUACUCCGCUCGCAAGGGAGAGGGGGCUCUCAGUGUGUAUGCGCUAACCUUUGCUGUGUGUUUUACAGACAAUCCCGACGCGAGCAAAGACUCCGCCCCCCGACUGCACCCGCGACUUUUCCUGAUGGGAAAACGGGAUCCCCGUUACUCGAGAAACCCCCAGCACGCCCUCAGCAACCCCGCGGCGAUGAAACACUUCACCUCACAUCCCCACUUCGACACACACGCGCACCCACACCUUCUCACGAACCCAUUUUUGAAUAAAGAUUUCUCCACGAGAGACACUGAUAUGGCCUCCUGUGUGUCUGUGCUCUGUCCCCCACUGGCUAAAUUCCCUACACCUGGUAAUGUUGAAACUUAGAGGUGACUUAAAUGUGAUGUGCUAAGAGUAAAAAAAAAAUUAUGCUUCAAUUAUAUAUUAUUACAUAGAGUAUAAAGAUUACAGUCCCCUCCGAAAAUAUCGGAACGGCAAGGGCAAUUCUAUUGUUUUUGCUAGAAAAUAAACACAUUUGGGUUUGAGUUCAAAAGAUGAAUAUGAGAUGAUAGGUCAUUUUGAAUUUCAGAUUUCACUUCCUGGUCUCUGGACUUCAUGUUAAUUUAAUAAUCAUUUUUAACAACAAAUGCAGUCUUCACAGGAAAAACCCCAGGACUCAAGUGAAGAACAGAUAUUCAGAGCUAUUAACUGCUUAUAAACACACACACACACCUUUAAAUCUGAAUUAUCCAUAUCCUAUAUGGGAGAAUUUCAGACUUUGUGAAAUACAAACAAACUAUAUAAACUAUAGUCCUUUAAUUUA
This is a long non-coding RNA of Ictalurus punctatus (channel catfish), 3351 nucleotides long. Lineage: Eukaryota; Metazoa; Chordata; Actinopteri; Siluriformes; Ictaluridae. The record is from Ensembl.